RNAcentral lists this ribosomal RNA (399 nucleotides) under uncultured bacterium. RNAcentral describes it as "bacterial SSU rRNA". It matches the Rfam family "Bacterial small subunit ribosomal RNA", at positions 358 to 774 of the family's 1533-position model. The record is from RNAcentral.
GGAAUAUUGCACAAUGGGGGGAACCCUGAUGCAGCGACGCCGCGUGAGUGAAGAAGUAUUUCGGUAUGUAAAGCUCUAUCAGCAGGGAAGAAAAUGACGGUACCUGACUAAGAAGCCCCGGCUAACUACGUGCCAGCAGCCGCGGUAAUACGUAGGGGGCAAGCGUUAUCCGGAUUUACUGGGUGUAAAGGGAGCGUAGACGGUUAUGCAAGUCUGAAGUGAAAGCCCAAGGCUCAACCAUGGGACUGCUUUGGAAACUGUAAAACUGGAGUGCAGGAGAGGUAAGCGGAAUUCCUAGUGUAGCGGUGAAAUGCGUAGAUAUUAGGAGGAACACCAGUGGCGAAGGCGGCUUACUGGACUGUAACUGACGUUGAGGCUCGAAGGCGUGGGGAGCAAACA